Mytilinidion resinicola is the source of this 100-nucleotide non-coding RNA. Lineage: Eukaryota; Fungi; Ascomycota; Dothideomycetes; Mytilinidiales; Mytilinidiaceae. The record is from the annotation of a RefSeq genome assembly.
GGCAUCAUGGCCGAGUGGUCUAAGGCGGUAGUUUUAAGUCACGUUAUAUGUGGAUACACUACUGGGGCAACCCGCGUGAGUUCGAACCUCACUGAUGUCA